CAGCAGCCACGGGAAUACGAAGGGUGCAAGCGUUAAUCGGAAUUACUGGGCGUAAAGGGUGCGUAGGCGGUGAGUUAAGUCUGUUGUGAAAUCCCCGGGCUUAACCUGGGAACUGCGCUUGUGACUGCACAGCUAGAGUAUGGCAGAGGGGGGUGGAAUUCCACGUGUAGCAGUGAAAUGCGUAGAGAUGUGGAGGAACACCGAUGGCGAAGGCAGCCCCCUGGGCCAAUACUGACGCUCAUGCACGAAAGCGUGGGGAGCAAACAGGAUUAGAUACCCCCGUAGUCCCUGUCUCUUAUAC
This 301-nucleotide ribosomal RNA is filed under the name uncultured bacterium. RNAcentral's name for it is "partial 16S ribosomal RNA". It matches the Rfam family "Bacterial small subunit ribosomal RNA", at positions 509 to 807 of the family's 1533-position model. The record is from RNAcentral.